Molecule: ribosomal RNA, 253 nt
Filed under: uncultured bacterium
Lineage: Bacteria
Description: partial 16S ribosomal RNA
Rfam family: Bacterial small subunit ribosomal RNA
Source: RNAcentral
UACGUAGGGUGCGAGCGUUAAUCGGAAUUACUGGGCGUAAAGCGUGCGCAGGCGGUUCGCUAAGACCGAUGUGAAAUCCCCGGGCUUAACCUGGGAACUGCAUUGGUGACUGGCGGGCUAGAGUAUGGCAGAGGGGGGUAGAAUUCCUGGUGUAGCAGUGAAAUGCGUAGAUAUCAGGAGGAACAUCGAUGGCGAAGGCAGCCCCCUGGGCCUGUACUGACGCUCAUGCACGAAAGCGUGGGGAGCAAACAGG